UUGCACUGAUUUCAACAAUGAAGCGAGUGGCGAACUGGUGAGUAACGCGUGGGGAAUCUGCCCAGAAGCAGGGGAUAACACUUGGAAACAGGUGCUAAUACCGUAUAACAACUUGGACCGCAUGGUCCGAGUUUGAAAGAUGGCUUCGGCUAUCACUUUUGGAUGGUCCCGCGGCGUAUUAGUUAGUUGGUGAGGUAAAGGCCCACCAAGACGAUGAUACGUAGCCCGACCCUGAGAGGGUAAUCGGCCACAUUGGGACUGAGACACGGCCCAAACUCC
RNAcentral lists this ribosomal RNA (279 nucleotides) under uncultured Lactobacillus sp. RNAcentral's name for it is "partial 16S ribosomal RNA". It matches the Rfam family "Bacterial small subunit ribosomal RNA", at positions 62 to 339 of the family's 1533-position model. Lineage: Bacteria; Bacillati; Bacillota; Bacilli; Lactobacillales; Lactobacillaceae. The record is from RNAcentral.